GCGGGUAUUGUAUAAUGGUUAUUACAUUAGCCUUCCAAGCUGACGAUGUGGGUUCGAUUCCCACUACCCGCU
Molecule: transfer RNA, 72 nt
Filed under: Candidatus Palibaumannia cicadellinicola
Lineage: Bacteria; Pseudomonadati; Pseudomonadota; Gammaproteobacteria
Also listed under: 1 other name
Description: tRNA-Gly
Rfam family: tRNA
About the family: Transfer RNA (tRNA) molecules are approximately 80 nucleotides in length. Their secondary structure includes four short double-helical elements and three loops (D, anti-codon, and T loops). Further hydrogen bonds mediate the characteristic L-shaped molecular structure. tRNAs have two regions of fundamental functional importance: the anti-codon, which is responsible for specific mRNA codon recognition, and the 3' end, to which the tRNAs corresponding amino acid is attached (by aminoacyl-tRNA synthetases). tRNAs cope with the degeneracy of the genetic code in two manners: having more than one tRNA (with a specific anti-codon) for a particular amino acid; and 'wobble' base-pairing, i.e. permitting non-standard base-pairing at the 3rd anti-codon position.
Source: RNAcentral